This 677-nucleotide ribosomal RNA is filed under the name uncultured bacterium. RNAcentral describes it as "bacterial SSU rRNA". It matches the Rfam family "Bacterial small subunit ribosomal RNA", at positions 834 to 1502 of the family's 1533-position model. The record is from RNAcentral.
ACCCCUGCAGUGCCGUAGCUAACGCGAUAAGUAUCCCGCCUGGGGAGUACGCACGCAAGUGUGAAACUCAAAGGAAUUGACGGGGACCCGCACAAGCGGUGGAACAUGUGGUUUAAUUCGAAGCAACGCGAAGAACCUUACCAGGACUUGACAUCUAGGGAAUCUCACAGAAAUGUGAGAGUGCCUUCGGGAACUCUAAGACAGGUGGUGCACGGUUGUCGUCAGCUCGUGUCGUGAGAUGUUGGGUUAAGUCCCGCAACGAGCGCAACCCUCGUUGUUAGUUGCCUGCAACAGCAUGCUUUUGCAGUGCUCUCUAGCGAGACUGCCGGUGAUAAACCGGAGGAAGGUGGGGGUGACGUCAAAUCAUCAUGCCCCUUAUGUCCUGGGCUACACACGUGUUACAAUGGAUGGGACAACGAGCAGCCAGCCAGCGAUGGUGAGCAAAUCUCUUAAACCCAUUCUCAGUUCGGAUCGCAGUCAGCAACUCGACUGCGUGAAGUCGGAAUCGCUAGUAACCGUAGAUCAGCACGCUGCGGUGAAUACGUUCCCGGGUCUUGUACACACCGCCCGUCACACCAUGGGAGCUGAUCACGCCCGAAGUCGGUGAGCUAACUCUCUGAGAAGCAGCCGCCUAAGGCAGGGUUGGUGACUGGGGUGAAGUCGUAACAAGGUAGCCG